AGGGGGAUAACUACUGGAAACGGUAGCUAAUACCGCAUAACGUCUUCGGACCAAAGUGGGGGACCUUCGGGCCUCACGCCAUCAGAUGUGCCCAGAUGGGAUUAGCUAGUAGGUGGGGUAAUGGCUCACCUAGGCGACGAUCCCUAGCUGGUCUGAGAGGAUGACCAGCCACACUGGAACUGAGACACGGUCCAGACUCCUACGGGAGGCAGCAGUGGGGAAUAUUGCACAAUGGGCGCAAGCCUGAUGCAGCCAUGCCGCGUGUGUGAAGAAGGCCUUCGGGUUGUAAAGCACUUUCAGCGAGGAGGAAGGGUGNUGUCUUAAUACGGCAUCGCAUUGACGUUACUCGCAGAAGAAGCACCGGCUAACUCCGUGCCAGCAGCCGCGGUAAUACGGAGGGUGCAAGCGUUAAUCGGAAUUACUGGGCGUAAAGCGCACGCAGGCGGUUUGUUAAGUCAGAUGUGAAAUCCCCGCGCUUAACGUGGGAACUGCAUUUGAAACUGGCAAGCUAGAGUCUCGUAGAGGGGGGUAGAAUUCCAGGUGUAGCGGUGAAAUGCGUA
This 560-nucleotide ribosomal RNA is filed under the name Serratia sp. R5-5. Its description in RNAcentral is "bacterial SSU rRNA". It matches the Rfam family "Bacterial small subunit ribosomal RNA", at positions 137 to 692 of the family's 1533-position model. The record is from RNAcentral. Lineage: Bacteria; Pseudomonadati; Pseudomonadota; Gammaproteobacteria; Enterobacterales; Yersiniaceae.